RNAcentral lists this ribosomal RNA (318 nucleotides) under uncultured bacterium. RNAcentral's name for it is "bacterial SSU rRNA". It matches the Rfam family "Bacterial small subunit ribosomal RNA", at positions 28 to 334 of the family's 1533-position model. The record is from RNAcentral.
GAUGAACGCUGGCGGCGUGCUUAAUACAUGUAAGUCGAACGAAGAAUAACUAAGCUUGCUUAGCUAUUCUUAGUGGCGAACGGGUGAGUAAUACAUAAGCAACCUACCUUUAAGCGGGGGAUAACUACCGGAAACAGUAGCUAAUACCCCACUAGUAAGGAUUUAGGCAUCUAUUUCCUUUUAAAGUACGCGUUUGCGUCACUUAUUGAUGGGCUUAUGGUGUAUUAGCUAGUUGGUGGGGUAACUGCUCACCAAGGCGAUGAUACAUAGCCGGCCUGAGAGGGUGAACGGCCACAUUGGGACUGAGACACGGCCCAG